This 700-nucleotide long non-coding RNA is filed under the name Felis catus (domestic cat). RNAcentral describes it as "lncRNA (ENSFCAG00000051229.1)". Lineage: Eukaryota; Metazoa; Chordata; Mammalia; Carnivora; Felidae. The record is from RNAcentral.
UCUCCUAGACUAGGGACUGUGUUUCAUCUCUGUGGCCUCAGUGUCAGAACAAUGUUCCCUUAAUUAAUGCUUUCAGAAUCUCCUGUGCACAGAACAGAAUCUUAUAUGUGUCAGAUUCUGUUCUGGGUGCUUGGGAUACAGAACAGUGAAGAAAAUCAGCAAAGGUCCCUGCCCUAGCGGAGUGUGCAUUCUAGCAGAGGCAGACUAAAUAACCAAAUCACAUAGUAUGCUGGAAGGUAACAAGUUCUUGAGGAUAAAAAGAAAAAAAAAUAGAGUAGGAUAAAAGGAAGCAACCAGGUGAAAAAGUCAGAACAUUUUGUUGGAUCGGUUGUGAAAUUCAUGAAAGAGCAGCAAAUUCAUGCUGGUGAAAAUCUUGCGGUGAAUGCAUCUGACAUCCUGCUGCAAAAAGAAGAGGGAAGUUCUGAAGUGUGGAGGUCCGGAUUCAAAAGGUACCAGCGUCCUUGAUUUUCCAGCUUCAAAGAGAGCUGCCUCUGAAAUAGGGGGACGUUCACACCUGCUUUGCUGCAGAGAUUUCUGCCUUCCUGGCUGCAGACUCAACAAGACAACAACACGUCUGUGGACAUUUUCAAGGCCAUAUUUAUAUACCAGGCAUGGGAAGCUUCUCUUCCACCCUUUCUUCCUAAAUGAAAAUGAAAAGGUUAGUGUGCCCUGUGAGGAUUCAGCAAUGAACCUGAUUUAA